GACGAACGCUGGCGGCGUGCUUAACACAUGCAAGUAGAACGGAAAGGCCCUGCUUUUGUGUGGUGCUCGAGUGGCGAACGGGUGCGUAACACGUGAGUAACCUGCCCUUGACUUUGGGAUAACUUCAGGAAACUGGGGCUAAUACCGGCUAGGAGCUCCUGCUGUUUGGUGGGGGUUGGUAAGUUUCGGCGGUUGGGGAUGGACUCGCGGCUUAUCAGCCUGUCGGUGAGGUAGUGGCUUAGCAAGGUUUUGACGGGUAGCCGGCCUGAGAGGGUGACCGGCCACAGUGGGACUGAGAUGCCGCCCAGACUCCUACGGGAGGCAGCAGUGGGGGAUAGUGCGCGAUGGGCGGAAGCCGGGUGCAGCAACGCCGCGUGCGGGAGGACGGCCGUCGGGUUGUAAACCGCUUUCGCCUGGAACGAAGCGUGAGUGACGGUAAUGGGUAAAGAAGCACCGGCUAACUACGUG
This 468-nucleotide ribosomal RNA is filed under the name uncultured bacterium. RNAcentral's name for it is "partial 16S ribosomal RNA". It matches the Rfam family "Bacterial small subunit ribosomal RNA", at positions 28 to 507 of the family's 1533-position model. The record is from RNAcentral.